RNAcentral lists this transfer RNA (73 nucleotides) under Calidifontimicrobium sp. SYSU G02091. Its description in RNAcentral is "tRNA-Ile". It matches the Rfam family "tRNA". From Rfam's summary of the family: Transfer RNA (tRNA) molecules are approximately 80 nucleotides in length. Their secondary structure includes four short double-helical elements and three loops (D, anti-codon, and T loops). Lineage: Bacteria; Pseudomonadati; Pseudomonadota; Betaproteobacteria; Burkholderiales; Sphaerotilaceae. The record is from RNAcentral.
GGGCCGUUAGCUCAGUGGUCAGAGCAGGGGACUCAUAAUCCUUUGGUCGCUGGUUCGAUCCCAGCACGGCCUA